Molecule: long non-coding RNA, 718 nt
Organism: Coregonus clupeaformis (lake whitefish)
Lineage: Eukaryota; Metazoa; Chordata; Actinopteri; Salmoniformes; Salmonidae
Exons: 4
Source: RefSeq, a predicted model, not a curated record
UAUAGGGCACAACAGAGGUGAGGAAAUACAGGAGUCAUCUAAAGAGCGACAUAGUAAUGGAACUAUCAGUCUAGUAGGAGAGGAAGUUGAUGGAACCAUGUACCUCCUCCCCCUGGUUGUGAUCCUGGGUGUUGUGACUGCUGUUCUACUGAUAGUCAUCCUCAUCCUGGUCCUCAAGAUCAUACGAGAGGCAAAAACACACAACACAGGACCUGAUUCUCAAAGACAACCACAAAAUGAUCAGAACCAAGAUCCAGAUGCAUUGAAUUAUUCCGCCCUGAAUUUCACCUCCAAGAAGAGGAAGAUGGAGAGGAGAAGGGAGAAGGAGCUGGACCCCCAUGUAGUGUAUGCUGCUACAAGAUGACAAAGAGGAGGAGGAUGGAAGAUGAGGAAGAUUGGUUUGCCAUAUCUUUGAAUACACGUUUAAAUAUUUCUAAAUUGAAUGUGUAGUUAAAUAAAAUGUUUUGAAAUCUCUGUAGCCCUCUCCAACUCAGUUAGGCCACACAGCUCAGUGGUACAGGGUUAGGUUAGAGAGGAGGAUUUAGAAGUCAAAACACAACUGUUUAAUGGCCUCAGAGGAGUAGUUGCCUCUUUUUGCCUCACUUAACUUAGAUCUCUGUUGUGUGUUUUAGUGAUUUUUUUAUAGGGUGACCCUGAGGGGCAAAGUACCCAGCAGUAGACAAUUGUAUUGAUCACUUAUAAAGACAAAUAAAGAGUU